Molecule: unclassified non-coding RNA, 279 nt
Filed under: plant metagenome
Description: partial contains small subunit ribosomal RNA, internal transcribed spacer 1, and 5.8S ribosomal RNA
Source: RNAcentral
UCUCCGUUGGUGAACCAGCGGAGGGAUCAUUACCGAGUUUACAACUCCCAAACCCUCUGUGAACCUUUCUUUUUGUUUCUUCCGCCGGAUCGCCCUGGCGCUUCACGGCGCCGGCUGUCGGCGCCCGCCGUCAGCUCCACACCCCUGUUUAUUUAUGUUUCCUCGCCGACUGGCACAAGCCAGAUAAUCCAAAACUUUCAAAAACGGUCUUCUUGGUUCUGGCAUCGAAGAAGAACGCACCACAACGGAAGACCACACUCCUGAACCCCAGACAAACCC